RNAcentral lists this non-coding RNA (21 nucleotides) under Caenorhabditis elegans. The record is from RNAcentral. Lineage: Eukaryota; Metazoa; Nematoda; Chromadorea; Rhabditida; Rhabditidae.
UGAACUGGCUAUUUUAAAUCC